ACGAUAAGUAUACUGUUAGUGCGUGUAACCUUUUCUCAGUGGUUAUGUUGGUGUGAUUGGAUACAAUAGCAUGGUACAGCUCUUGAAAGCCGGUCUCAGCUGAAGGUUUGUUGUCUUGUUUCGUUUGCUUUCUUUUGUUCUGUUUUUGUUUUAGGAUGGAGUUUUUUUUUCAAUUAAACAAAGAGAAUGCGUGAAAAUAAACGAUAUAUUAAU
Molecule: long non-coding RNA, 213 nt
Filed under: Mytilus galloprovincialis (Mediterranean mussel)
Lineage: Eukaryota; Metazoa; Mollusca; Bivalvia; Mytilida; Mytilidae
Source: RNAcentral